Molecule: ribosomal RNA, 253 nt
Filed under: uncultured bacterium
Lineage: Bacteria
Description: partial 16S ribosomal RNA
Rfam family: Bacterial small subunit ribosomal RNA
Source: RNAcentral
UACGUAGGUUGCAAGCGUUAUCCGGAUUUAUUGGGCGUAAAGCGAGCGCAGGCGGUUGUUUAAGUCCGAUGUGAAAGCCUGCGGCUUAACCGAAGAAGUGCAUUGGAAACUAAAUAACUUGAGUGCAGAAGAGGACAGUAGAACUCCAUGUGUAGCGGUGAAAUGCGUAGAUAUAUGGAAGAAUACCAGUGGCGAAAGCGGCUGUCUGGUCUGCAACUGACGCUGAGGCUCGAAAGCAUGGGUAGCAAACAGG